RNAcentral lists this transfer RNA (72 nucleotides) under Bremia lactucae (lettuce downy mildew). Its description in RNAcentral is "tRNA-Glu". It matches the Rfam family "tRNA". Rfam says of the family: Transfer RNA (tRNA) molecules are approximately 80 nucleotides in length. Lineage: Eukaryota; Oomycota; Peronosporomycetes; Peronosporales; Peronosporaceae. The record is from RNAcentral.
GCCCUUUUAGUCUAAAGGUUAUGACCUUGCCUUUUCACGGCAAAAAUACGAGUUCAAUUCUCGUAAAGGGUA